UUUAAUCUCACUAGAAGUUAAAAGCAUGAGUAAAUCACGUAUUAUUCUGAAAGGAUUAACACCUUACCAAUUAACAGUUUUAACAACAAAUUUAACAGGUGUUGUUAUAUAGAUACAGACCAAGAGAAUAACUUUGUUUUCCUAGACACGUAGGAGUGAUGAGACUUGUGAAAGCAUGGAUGAAAUCUUAGUGCCCUGGAAGUCAAUGACAGAACUUCCUAGUGUGCCAGUACUCAGACUUUUGAACAAAUUAAGUGCCCAAAUCCCAGUAUGCAUACCUUAGGUUUUUUUUUGUUUUGUUUUGUUUUUUUUUAGUAAAUAUCAUAGAACCUCUGAGCUGAAAUGUAAUCUUUUUUUUCUCUUUCAUUUCAGGAGGUGAUAUAUAAAUAAAUCUGAGAACUGGAGAUGAUGAUGCCAGACAGAAUAUUAAUAAAAUCUCCUUACUCCUGCUUCUACCAUAUCUCUGGAGGUAAAGAAGAGAAUUUAGCUGCGUACCAGUUGCACACAAACUACUCCCUACUGCCAAAUGUUACAGACAAGAAGUUGCCAGGAAAGCAGUGCAUCUCAAGAAUGGCGGAAGCGGAGGUCUGUGUGGACAAAACCUGCACUCACAGCUGUUUGCUGACACCCCUUCAAAUUUGUGUGCACAGGGCAGAAAUGCUUGAAUAAUUCAAGGUAGGGCUGGUUAGAGCUGACUUCUGGAUACUUCCUUUCUGUGAAAGCCAUCUCUUGUUAUUUAGAGAGGGAGCUGAUAGUGUUGCUAGCAGUUCGGAGCAGCUUUGCUCCCAGGCCAGUGCCAGAAAGCAGAUGUGUGAUGUGCCAUAUCCUUAACAGAUGGACAUGCCAUAUGCCAUUAAAAGUGCUUAUCCAAUUUUCUCUCACAUUGUGGGUGAACAGCAUCAAAACCUUAACAGGCAAAAAAAGAAAAAAGAAAAAAAAAAAAAGCAUUAGUUCCUUGGGGAGGUGAGUAACUCAAAGGAAGAUUUCCCAAGUGUCUUCCAGAGUUUUCCUCAGUGUUGAACACUUGUGUGCGUUUCAAGGGUCUGCGUGCCUGAGAGUUUGCUGUCCCCAUGUUCCUGGCGGUGGGAAGUGUCCUCUCCUACACACAGUCCUGGGAUUACACUAAUGCACGUCCAAGUCUGAGCUAAUUUACUUUGCCUUUCCCAAGGCAGGCCUGGAGCCAGGCUCACGUGGUCGUGGGGCAUCUGGAAUGACUUGGCGUACACUGUAGCUCCCAUCUUCAGAGAGCAAAGGCAAGGCUUGUACAAAUGAACAUGGAUGUGUAGCUGCACUCCAACUUUCUUACUGGAUGGAGUAGAGCAAUGUUCAAUGGCCCAAGAACAGCUACAGACACGAUUUGUGUUGGUUAGAUUGUGUUGGUACCCAGCUUGGAUGGGACACUUUCAGGCCAUACUCCAGAAGGAUAUAGGUACUGGGGUACUGGACCACUCCGGUGUUUUAGGCUUAUACAGUUUUAGACCCAUGAA
Molecule: long non-coding RNA, 1487 nt
Filed under: Anser brachyrhynchus (Pink-footed goose)
Lineage: Eukaryota; Metazoa; Chordata; Aves; Anseriformes; Anatidae
Description: lncRNA (ENSABRG00000017542.1)
Source: RNAcentral